GAUAAGUGUUUUGACUUACAAGGAAUAUUGGCAGUGGACAAUAUUAUUUUUAAACCAUUAUUAAAUAGAGAAUAAUACAUGGGUACGCGGAAAUACCAGAUUUAUUUCGAAUGUUGAACAUGAUAUCGGGGAACUUAAAGGGGCAGUGUCACAGCGCUGAUUGGCUAAAAUAAAUGGCGCAAAGAAAAGUUUAAAAUUAAUGCUACAUGAUUGGAAAAUAUGCAGCAGCCUUCAAUUUUAAAACAAAGCAAGGAUGUCCUGCGUAACGAAGGGAUUAUAAAUAGUAUAUCGUGUUUCACUCCUAACUUGAUUAAUUGUUGGCAGACAGUUUUUCAAGUUCGCGCAUAUUUUAGAUGCGCAGUAGAACCGUGACACUGCCAAUAACCAAAUGAAACAAUUUCAUAUACCGCCCAUCAUAAGUAAUUUUACGAAAUUCAAGGGAUUGUAGUUUACGAGAAUAUGCAUGGUAAGCCAUGUCAAUUUAUAUCCUUAAAUAACGGCUGAAAAAUAAUUUUACCGAAGAAAAUUAAAAAAAAUAAAUGUCAAAAAAUUGCAGCCCAAACACAUUUCGCUCAUUUGGACAAAUGUGACUCAUCAUUAAUGAACCAUAUUUACAUAUAAUGAACCAUAUAUAUUUUACGAAGACGACCAAUAUACCUUGGGGCGAUAAAAUUGUGCAAUUUAAUUUGUCGAAAAUUACGACUCAAUAUACUGGUCCAGAAUAACUAGAAUAGAAAAAUGUAAUCAAACAUUCUUUCCAUGUAAAUAGCUAUUUGGUGAAUACGGGACUAUAAUGGCUAAUUUGCUUUCUUAAACUAUUGCUAUAGAGGAUCACAAGUUUAAUAAUUAUUUGUUUAAUAUAUUUAAAAAUUGGUGUAUCUUAUAUAGGCUCCCUAUACUACAAUACACGUGCAACAAUGAUAUAUUAAUUAUGAAGUCUAUGUCCUAUGAACUGUUUUCGAUUUGAACUGUUCAUAUAUCUCUAUAUACUGGUGACAAAAAAACAACAAAACUGAAAUCAACUAGAAAUUAAAGGAUAACAUAAAUGAUCUAAAAAACGCCCAGAAUGUUUAUUAGAUUUUCAAGAACUCAAUAAUUCAUGAGGAAAACACAAAGAAAAAUCAUAAGCGUGUCGUAUCUUUAUAUGUGAUAGAGAUUUCCCUAAUUGAUUUACAUGAACUUUAACUUUGAUUUUCUAGACUUACAAAACGUAUUUUUUGAAAAUAUUUUGCCAAUGAACUAAUAGAUCUAUCGUUUUUGAAGCAAUUUAAAACAUUCGCAGUGCGUGUUUUACCAGACCUAAAGAUACUCAGCUUCGCCUCGUAUCUUCAUAUGUGGUAAACUACUUUUGCUCGUUUAUUAAAGUGUAUAUGACAUGAAAUUUCUUAUUUUCUUAAAUGAAAGAACUC
This is a non-coding RNA of Paramuricea clavata, 1409 nucleotides long. The record is from the annotation of a GenBank genome assembly. NCBI's taxonomy places the organism in Eukaryota, Metazoa, Cnidaria, Anthozoa, Malacalcyonacea, Plexauridae.